CAAAGGCUUGGUCCUGACUUUAUUAUCAACUCUAGCUAGACUUACACAUGCAAGCAUCCGCACUCCCGUGAGAAUGCCCUCUAGUUCCCUGCUUGGGAACAAGGAGCUGGUAUCAGGCACAAGUUUUUAGCCCAUGACGCCUUGCUUAGCCACACCCCCAAGGGAAUUCAGCAGUGAUAGACAUUAAGCCAUAAGUGAAAACUUGACUUAGUCAAAGCUAAGAGGGCCGGUAAAUCUCGUGCCAGCCACCGCGGUUAUACGAGAGGCCCAAGUUGAUAAAUACCGGCGUAAAGAGUGGUUAGAGAAGAAACUAAACUAAAGCCAAACGCCUUCAGAGCUGUUAUACGCUUACGAAGAGCAGAGACACAACCACGAAAGUGGCUUUACUUAACCUGACCCCACGAAAGCUAGGGCACAAACUGGGAUUAGAUACCCCACUAUGCCUAGCCGUAAACAUUGAUAGUGCAUUACAUCUGCUAUCCGCCCGGGUACUACGAGCAUCAGCUUAAAACCCAAAGGACUUGGCGGUGCUUUAGAUCCAC
This 542-nucleotide ribosomal RNA is filed under the name Symphodus melops (corkwing wrasse). Its description in RNAcentral is "partial small subunit ribosomal RNA". It matches the Rfam family "Bacterial small subunit ribosomal RNA", at positions 7 to 930 of the family's 1533-position model. Lineage: Eukaryota; Metazoa; Chordata; Actinopteri; Labriformes; Labridae. The record is from RNAcentral.